AACGAACGCUGGCGGCAUGCCUAACACAUGCAAGUCGAACGAGACCUUCGGGUCUAGUGGCGCACGGGUGCGUAACGCGUGUGAACCUGCCCUUAGAUUCGGAAUAACUCCCCGAAAGGGGUGCUAAUACCGGAUAAUGUCUUCGGACCAAAGAUUUAUCGCCUUUGGAUGGGCCCGCGUUGGAUUAGCUAGUUGGUAGGGUAAAAGCCUACCAAGGCGACGAUCCAUAGCUGGUCUGAGAGGAUGAUCAGCCACACUGGGACUGAGACACGGCCCAGACUCCUACGGGAGGCAGCAGUGGGGAAUAUUGGACAAUGGGCGAAAGCCUGAUCCAGCAGUGCCGCGUGAGUGAUGAAGGCCUUAGGGUUGUAAAGCUCUUUUACCCGGGAUGAUAAUGACAGUACCGGGAGAAUAAGCUCCGGCUAACUCCGU
This 432-nucleotide ribosomal RNA is filed under the name uncultured bacterium. RNAcentral describes it as "partial 16S ribosomal RNA". It matches the Rfam family "Bacterial small subunit ribosomal RNA", at positions 29 to 506 of the family's 1533-position model. The record is from RNAcentral.